UAACACCGCUCAUUUGUUUACGCAAGGCAAGUCUUAUCCUUAUCUUUGUGAAUGAUCUGCAUAUUGUGCAUCAAGACUAGAACUCUGUUCUUGUAUACUCUCUGAAGGUAGAUUUUGAUUGCAAAUCAAUCACUCUUGUAGCUGUUGUUUCCUUAUCAGUUUAGACUACCAUGUUGGCUAGAGUUUGUUGCCUUUUGAACCUCUUUCUGUCCUAACAUUUCUCCACUAAUUUAGGCAAUGUUGCUAAAAGCAGAGUGUGAGUGUUCAACCUUGUUUCUCCCAUAUUUUAACUCACCUUAUCACUCAAUCUACUGAUAAAUCCAUAUUCAAGGAGAAAUGUACUGAAACGAUCAAACCAGGCACGCAGAGCUUGUUUAAGUCCAUAGAGAGCCUUCUGUAAUUUGCAGAUAUAUCCGCCAUUCCUAGUGGUUGUUUUAUAUAUAUAUCUUCGGUGAUGUUACCAUGCAAAAAUACAUUCUUUACAUCAAGUUGUUGAAUAGGCCAUCCUUGAACCAGUGCUGCGCUAAUAAUCAUCUGUAUAGUGCCUGAUUUGAUAACCAGAGAAAAGGUUUCAAUGCAGUCAAUCCCAUCAAUUUGAUGGUACCCUUUUGCAACAACACAAGCCUUUAGUCCGUCUGAAGAUCCAUCAGGUUUCAGUUUUAGAGCAAAUUACAUGUAGGUCUAGAGUGCGAGGAACAAGAGUCCAUGUUUGAUUUAAUUGUGGGGCAGUAAAUUCUUCUUCCAUUGCAGUUUUCCAACCAGGAUGAGCCAGAGCUGACUGAACAUUUUGUGGCUCCCUGGGUACAUUGUGAGAGGAUAUGGAUGUCAAGGCAUAUUUUGGAUUUGGUUUUACAGCACCAAGUUUGAAUCGUGUAACCAUAGAGUGAGAAUCUUGUCCUUGAGAGGGCUGGGGAAUUUUUGAUGCAGGUUCUGUUCGUGGAGCUUUUGAACGAGUGGUUGAUUGGGACCAAGUGAUCACUGGGUGAGAAGGCUGGAGAACCCUCAGGUUGUGGUCUACUGUGAACCGUCUGUGGAAGUAUUGUGUCAGGAGUGUUUUGUGUCGGAGUGGAGACUACUGGCAGCGGAUUGAUGCAUCGAGAUGAAUCCAUUAUCUUAGUAUUUCCUGCAAUGUUAUGAGAAUUAGUGUGAGGAAUCCAAGUGUCAAAGAUAUGUAAUGUAUGUGAUGAAGGCUGAAUAGUAGUUGAUGGUUUGUAAGGAAAAAUUGUUUCAUCGAAAACAUGGCGCGAAAUUAGAAUUUUUCUGCUUGGAGGAUGAUGGCACUUGUAUUCUUUAUGUGUUGCACUGUAACCGAUGAAAAUAUAAUAGUUAUUGAUCGUUUGAAUAAUAUUUUUAAAAAAUUUUAAAUC
Populus nigra (black poplar) is the source of this 1367-nucleotide long non-coding RNA. RefSeq lists it as uncharacterized. The transcript is spliced from 2 exons. NCBI's taxonomy places the organism in Eukaryota, Viridiplantae, Streptophyta, Magnoliopsida, Malpighiales, Salicaceae. The record is from RefSeq and is a predicted model, not a curated record.